GACGAACGCUGGCGGCGUGCUUAACACAUGCAAGUCGAACGGUAAGGCCCUUCGGGGUACACGAGUGGCGAACGGGUGAGUAACACGUGGGUGAUCUGCCCUGCACUUCGGGAUAAGCCUGGGAAACUGGGUCUAAUACCGGAUAGGACCACUGCCUGCAUGGGUGGUGGUGGAAAGCUUUUGCGGUGUGGGAUGUGCCCGCGGCCUAUCAGCUUGUUGGUGGGGUGAUGGCCUACCAAGGCGACGACGGGUAGCCGGCCUGAAAGGGUGACCGGCCACACUGGGACUGGGAUACGGCCCAGACUCCUACGGGAGGCAGCAGUGGGGAAUAUUGCACAAUGGGCGCAAGCCUGAUGCAGCGACGCCGCGUGAGGGAUGACGGCCUUCGGGUUGUAAACCUCUUUCAGCACCGACGAAGCGCAAGUGACGGUAGGUGCAGAAGAAGGACCGGCCAACUACGUGCCAGCCGCCGCGGUAA
RNAcentral lists this ribosomal RNA (478 nucleotides) under uncultured bacterium. Its description in RNAcentral is "partial 16S ribosomal RNA". It matches the Rfam family "Bacterial small subunit ribosomal RNA", at positions 28 to 523 of the family's 1533-position model. The record is from RNAcentral.